GUCUAGGGUCAUACUACCCUGCAUGCACCUGAUCUGGUCUGAUCGCUGAAGUUAAGCAGUGUUCGACAUGAUUAGGACCUGGAUGGGAGACCGCCUGGGAAUAUUAGGUCCUAUAGGCU
Ribosomal RNA from Mesocricetus auratus (golden hamster), 119 nucleotides. The record is from Ensembl. Lineage: Eukaryota; Metazoa; Chordata; Mammalia; Rodentia; Cricetidae.